Molecule: ribosomal RNA, 235 nt
Filed under: uncultured bacterium
Lineage: Bacteria
Description: partial 16S ribosomal RNA
Rfam family: Bacterial small subunit ribosomal RNA
Source: RNAcentral
GCAAAUACUCAAAAAAACAAUCUCAGUUCAGACUGCAGGCUGCAACUCGCCUGCACGAAGUCGGAAUUGCUAGUAAUCGUAGGUCAGCAUACUACGGUGAAUACGUUCCCGGGCCUUGUACACACCGCCCGUCAAACCAUGAGAGUUGGCAACACCCGAAGUCGGUAGUCUAACCGCAAGGAGGACGCCGCCGAAGGUGGGGUUGAUGAUUAGGGUUAAGUCGUAACAAGGUAAC